CCUUUGACGUUAGCGGCGGACGGGUGAGUAACACGUGGGUAACCUACCUAUAAGACUGGGAUAACUUCGGGAAACCGGAGCUAAUACCGGAUAAUAUUUCGAACCGCAUGGUUCGAUAGUGAAAGAUGGUUUUGCUAUCACUCAUAGAUGGACCCGCGCCGUAUUAGCUAGUUGGUAAGGUAACGGCUUACCAAGGCGACGAUACGUAGCCGACCUGAGAGGGUUAUCGGCCACACUGGAACUGAGACACGGUCCAGACUCCUACGGGAGGCAGCAGGC
RNAcentral lists this ribosomal RNA (279 nucleotides) under uncultured Staphylococcus sp. Its description in RNAcentral is "partial 16S ribosomal RNA". It matches the Rfam family "Bacterial small subunit ribosomal RNA", at positions 83 to 354 of the family's 1533-position model. The record is from RNAcentral. Lineage: Bacteria; Bacillati; Bacillota; Bacilli; Caryophanales; Staphylococcaceae.